Molecule: ribosomal RNA, 253 nt
Filed under: uncultured bacterium
Lineage: Bacteria
Description: partial 16S ribosomal RNA
Rfam family: Bacterial small subunit ribosomal RNA
Source: RNAcentral
UACGUAGGGGGCUAGCGUUGUCCGGAUUUAUUGGGCGUAAAGAGCGUGUAGGCGGCCAGGUAGGUCUGGUGUGAAAACUCGAGGCUUAACCUCGAGAUGUCAUCGGAAACCAUCUGGCUAGAGUCCGGAAGAGGAGAGUGGAAUUCCUGGUGUAGCGGUAAAAUGCGCAGAUAUCAGGAAGAACACCAAUGGCGAAAGCAGCUCUCUGGGACGGUACUGACGCUGAGACGCGAAAGCGUGGGGAGCGAACAGG